CCUGGCUCAGAGUGAACGCUGGCGGCAGGCCUAACACAUGCAAGUCGAACGGCAGCACAGGAGAGCUUGCUUCCUGGGUGGCGAGUGGCGGACGGGUGAGGAAUACAUCGGAAUCUACUUUUUCGUGGGGGAUAACGUAGGGAAACUUACGCUAAUACCGCAUACGACCUACGGGUGAAAGCAGGGGAUCUUCGGACCUUGCGCGAUAGAAUGAGCCGAUGUCGGAUUAGCUAGUUGGCGGGGUAAAGGCCCACCAAGGCGACGAUCCGUAGCUGGUCUGAGAGGAUGAUCAGCCACACUGGGACUGAGACACGGUCCAGACUCCUACGG
This 330-nucleotide ribosomal RNA is filed under the name uncultured bacterium. RNAcentral's name for it is "bacterial SSU rRNA". It matches the Rfam family "Bacterial small subunit ribosomal RNA", at positions 18 to 344 of the family's 1533-position model. The record is from RNAcentral.